This 496-nucleotide ribosomal RNA is filed under the name uncultured bacterium. RNAcentral describes it as "partial 16S ribosomal RNA". It matches the Rfam family "Bacterial small subunit ribosomal RNA", at positions 28 to 506 of the family's 1533-position model. The record is from RNAcentral.
GAUGAACGCUGGCGGCGUGCCUAAUACAUGCAAGUCGAGCGAACAGACGAGGAGCUUGCUCCUCUGACGUUAGCGGCGGACGGGUGAGUAACACGUGGAUAACCUACCUAUAAGACUGGGAUAACUUCGGGAAACCGGAGCUAAUACCGGAUAAUAUAUUGAACCGCAUGGUUCAAUAGUGAAAGACGGUUUUGCUGUCACUUAUAGAUGGAUCCGCGCCGCAUUAGCUAGUUGGUGAGGUAACGGCUUACCAAGGCAACGAUGCGUAGCCGACCUGAGAGGGUGAUCGGCCACACUGGAACUGAGACACGGUCCAGACUCCUACGGGAGGCAGCAGUAGGGAAUCUUCCGCAAUGGGCGAAAGCCUGACGGAGCAACGCCGCGUGAGUGAUGAAGGUCUUCGGAUCGUAAAACUCUGUUAUUAGGGAAGAACAAAUGUGUAAGUAACUAUGCACGUCUUGACGGUACCUAAUCAGAAAGCCACGGCUAACUACGU